Molecule: long non-coding RNA, 2702 nt
Organism: Poecile atricapillus (Black-capped chickadee)
Lineage: Eukaryota; Metazoa; Chordata; Aves; Passeriformes; Paridae
Exons: 4
Source: RefSeq, a predicted model, not a curated record
UCCCGGCGCGGAGAGGCGAGUGCCCGGCUGGGGGUGCCGAGAUGGGGCUCCCCUUCCGCAGCUCCGACACCCCCCUCUCCCCCCGCCUUCAGCCUGUCACUGCUUUCUCUGCGACAGCUGCGUCAUGAAGCAGAAGUGGAAGAAGCUUUGCAGAGGAUGCUGGAGGGGUGAGAUAGAGAGGAAGUUUUUCCUCAUUCCCCUGGCAAGAAGUGACUCUGCUGGCUGUCUGCUGUCCUUGAUGGCACACAGGGGAAAUCUGUGAGCAGGUGACACCAAACUGAAAGCUGCACAAGGGGAUCAGGAGACGAGGGAAUGGAACAGAAAAAGGAAGAGAGCAAGCAGUGUGACAGAAUAAACACUGCAGGUGGAGCAGGUUUCUUAGCUGCUGGCCUUCUUUGGAGAAGAAUGCACUUUGCAAGUGCAUGCAGCCAGUGAUACUGAGAGCAGGUCUCCUUAGAACCAAAAUGCUAUUUAGAAUCACAGUCUGAAGAUGCCAGGGACCACGAAGAGCCACACUGAGAGACUUGUGGCUCUCUGAGAAGUGUCUGGAUUCUUGCAGUGCCUUCAUGGCAGUGGACACACCAAGUUAUGCUGAUGAGAAGAUUAAGCAUAGGGAGACUGAAUGACUUGCCCAAAGCCAGAAAGUCUGUGGCUUCUUAAAUUACUGCAAUCAUCUUCAGUCUUCUUGGAAAUGUACUCUUCCCUCCCCUUGGGAAUGUGUGUAGAAACAUUGCAACCUUUUUUCAGGUUUCCAGAGGUGAAUUCACAUAUUUAUACCUGAUGCAGUUGCCAAUGCUCAGAGUGGUUUCCUUACUGCUUCUGUUUGUUUGGCUGUGAGAUUCCUGCCGUGGGUUCUUGAGUCCUCGGAAUGAUUGGUUUUUCUCUAGUACCUGAGAGAAAGGACAAUGAGCCUCUUUGAUUUGAAAAUCCAUAGCACAGCUGGAGGAGGAGGUUCCACCCCCCAUUCCACCCCCACCACACAAGCCAAGUGCCAGGCUCUGCCAGCUCAGCACUGCUGCUGUCACUCUUUCCUGUUCUGCAAUGUGCAAACAGCCCGGUGACGUAGCGGGGUAACGCUGUUUGAACAGCCUCUCCAGUCAAGGAUUUUUCCAAAAUAAAUUGGACAGGAAUUAAUGGAUGUGCAUGUGAGUGCAGUAUUGCACAGCGCAGGUGGGACAGAAAAUGCAGCACGUUAUGGUAGGAAAUGAGGAAGGAACAUUUUCUCAGCAAACCUGGAUGAGCUGGCAGGUGGUGGCAGAGUAGAAGGAGGACAGGCUUUGCAGGAUGGAUGGAGUUGGUAAUAUCCUGUGAGUGAGCUGUGGAAGAAGAUGGUGAAAGGAGUCUCACCUACAUGAUGCUAUUUAACACUGAUUGCCUACCUAAAGGCUCCCUUCCCACCUUUCCUUUUGCUCCAUCACUUGUACCAGUCCUCUAGACCCUCUGCCAUUCUGCCAUGGAGCAGUUCUCUCUGCCUGGGUGGGCAGACAGCUUCCUCCUCCUAUGAAGCAAAUGGAGUGUUUCAUCCAUCACACACUGGGCAAAAUUGGGGCCUUCCUCACUUUUUGUCACUCAGUUUCUUGAUUUCCUGCAGAUUGCUUCAUAUUGCCAGCUCUGUCAUUUUAUCUGACAGCACCUUCCGUGCCCUGCUUUCUCAAAAUCACCUGUGAAAUUGGUGAGCAAAUAAUUUUGAACAAAUCGAUCUUGAACAGUUUGCUACUGGAGGAAAGAACUUGUGAGUUAUUGCUCAUGGAAUGCUAUCCCUUGUAGAGGCUCAAAACACGUUCUGUGUGUGAUUUCCUAGGGCCUGCUUUGAGAAGAUUGCCUAGGUUGGGACCAGGCACUUUCUCUCCUCCCUGCAUAGAUGUGGACCAUGGUGUUUAUUUGCCAGCUAGAGUAGCAGUGACCUCUGGAUCUGCAGUCCUUGGACAGUGUGUCAAAGUGGGACAGGAAUAUUUGUAUUUCCUCUUGGAGAAAUGCCUGAUAACACAAGAUUUCUUUGGGAUGCAUUUUCUGGACAGUCUCUAUUGGCCUGUAGCACUGGGGGACCUGGUUCUGGUAAAUUAAUGAGGCUGGUAUAUCUCUGAAAUCUAGGGAAGAGAGGAUGAAGGAGGAAGAAGGGUAAGACUUCAAGGGCUCAGUCUCUGGGAGGACUCCUGGUAAGGGAAGUUGAAUUGCUGCCUUGAGGGUCCCUCUCUUCAGCAGGGAGUUGGUCUGUGCUGUUUGGAGCGUGCCAGCAGCAGCACAGGCUUCAUUUCUCAGAUGGGGUUUCCUUCAUGCAGGAUCACACCCUCCUCAGUAGCUGCUCUCAUGUGAACACCUGAACCCUUGUGUGGGGCUCCUGUCCCAGGAGGCUCCUGCCUCGCUGCCAUCAUGGGGUGGCCAGGCUGAGCAUGGCAGGGGAUCCUAUUUUCCUCUAAGUCCUGACUGCACACCAGGAGCAGAGAGUGCUGUGGUGGUGACUGUGUUUGCUUGAGGCUCAUGUUACUUUGCUAAGCCCUGGCUGAGGCAGACGUCCCCAAAGUAGCUCUGUGUGUGCAUUCCUCCAGAGCUGGCUGUGAAGUGAUACCUUUGUGGGACAAGGUGAAACAGUUCAAGCCCCAAAAUAUUCUUUCAUAUGGACGCCUUCUGAAUGACCUCUGUUUGCAAAGCAAUCCUGGUCAAAUGGAAAACCUGACCUCUCCUGGUAUGCCCUAUUGAAGCGA